AACCAAUUACGCGAAUUCUUGUCAGGAAAUUCCAAAAAAAUUUCAACCUUUUGGUGCAGAAAGGGGUAAGUGACAAAAUCAUCGAUAAAGCUCAUGAAAAGGCCUAAAGGACAUAUCCUAGCCUGAGGAACCAGUGGAGGUCACGUGCAUCACAUGUGACUUACCUUCAGCAUGUGUUCAAGGAACCCCACGUGUGAAUAGACUCACUGGCACAUGUGGGCGCACAACCUAUAUGACACAGCACACCAAGUGUGUAGACAAGUUGGCAUGCCCCGUGCGCACAUGCAAACGCACAGGCUCACACCAUAUGCGUAAGCAUGCAACAUGUGCACAUAGCAGGCGUGACGCCCAGCAGGCCAGGCCCAGCCCUUGCCCUCCACGUAUGCAGUACGCUAGCCUGCAUAUACCCUGGCACAGCAAGUAAGGUGCACGCCAAGCAUGCAGCAGGCUGAGUGCACACCUAGCGUCCAGUGUACACGCAGGCCCAACCUGAGCUGGCAGCCUAACCAGCGCUGUUAACCCA
This 523-nucleotide long non-coding RNA is filed under the name Carica papaya (papaya). RNAcentral describes it as "long non-coding RNA (CPAP_LNC011886)". The record is from RNAcentral. Lineage: Eukaryota; Viridiplantae; Streptophyta; Magnoliopsida; Brassicales; Caricaceae.